Molecule: ribosomal RNA, 771 nt
Filed under: Pseudomonas sp.
Lineage: Bacteria; Pseudomonadati; Pseudomonadota; Gammaproteobacteria; Pseudomonadales; Pseudomonadaceae
Description: bacterial SSU rRNA
Rfam family: Bacterial small subunit ribosomal RNA
Source: RNAcentral
CCCUGUCUCUAAGUUUUUUGGAACAGCUCAGAUUGAACGCUGGCGGCAGGCCUAACACAUGCAAGUCGAGCGGAUGAAGGGAGCUUGCUCCUGGAUUCAGCGGCGGACGGGUGAGUAAUGCCUAGGAAUCUGCCUGGUAGUGGGGGAUAACGUCCGGAAACGGGCGCUAAUACCGCAUACGUCCUGAGGGAGAAAGUGGGGGAUCUUCGGACCUCACGCUAUCAGAUGAGCCUAGGUCGGAUUAGCUAGUUGGUGGGGUAAAGGCCUACCAAGGCGACGAUCCGUAACUGGUCUGAGAGGAUGAUCAGUCACACUGGAACUGAGACACGGUCCAGACUCCUACGGGAGGCAGCAGUGGGGAAUAUUGGACAAUGGGCGAAAGCCUGAUCCAGCCAUGCCGCGUGUGUGAAGAAGGUCUUCGGAUUGUAAAGCACUUUAAGUUGGGAGGAAGGGCAGUAAGUUAAUACCUUGCUGUUUUGACGUUACCAACAGAAUAAGCACCGGCUAACUUCGUGCCAGCAGCCGCGGUAAUACGAAGGGUGCAAGCGUUAAUCGGAAUUACUGGGCGUAAAGCGCGCGUAGGUGGUUCAGCAAGUUGGAUGUGAAAUCCCCGGGCUCAACCUGGGAACUGCAUCCAAAACUACUGAGCUAGAGUACGGUAGAGGGUGGUGGAAUUUCCUGUGUAGCGGUGAAAUGCGUAGAUAUAGGAAGGAACACCAGUGGCGAAGGCGACCACCUGGACUGAUACUGACACUGAGGUCGAAAGGACGG